RNAcentral lists this ribosomal RNA (898 nucleotides) under Phaeosphaeria sinensis. RNAcentral describes it as "partial large subunit ribosomal RNA". It matches the Rfam family "Eukaryotic large subunit ribosomal RNA", at positions 40 to 958 of the family's 3401-position model. Lineage: Eukaryota; Fungi; Ascomycota; Dothideomycetes; Pleosporales; Phaeosphaeriaceae. The record is from RNAcentral.
AUACAAUAAGCGGAGGAAAAGAAACCAACAGGGAUUGCCCUAGUAACGGCGAGUGAAGCGGCAACAGCUCAAAUUUGAAAUCUGGCUCUUUCAGAGUCCGAGUUGUAAUUUGCAGAGGGCGCUUUGGCGUUGGCAGCGGUCCAAGUUCUUUGGAACAGGACGUCACAGAGGGUGAGAAUCCCGUACGUGGUCGCUAGCCUUCGCCGUGUAAAGCCCCUUCGACGAGUCGAGUUGUUUGGGAAUGCAGCUCUAAAUGGGAGGUAAAUUUCUUCUAAAGCUAAAUACUGGCCAGAGACCGAUAGCGCACAAGUAGAGUGAUCGAAAGAUGAAAAGCACUUUGGAAAGAGAGUCAAAUAGCACGUGAAAUUGUUGAAAGGGAAGCGCUUGCAGCCAGACUUGCCUGUAGUUGCUUAUCUGGACUUUUGUCCAGUGCACUCUUCUGCGGGCAGGCCAGCAUCAGUUUGGGCGGUUGGAUAAAGGUCUCUGUCAUGUACCUCCUUUCGGGGAGGCCUUAUAGGGGAGACGACAUGCAACCAGCCCGGACUGAGGUCCGCGCAUCUGCUAGGAUGCUGGCGUAAUGGCUGUAAGCGGCCCGUCUUGAAACACGGACCAAGGAGUCUAACAUCUAUGCGAGUGUUUGGGUGUCAAGCCCAGACGCGUAAUGAAAGUGAACGGAGGUGGGAACCCUUUGGGUGCACCAUCGACCGAUCCUGAUGUCUUCGGAUGGAUUUGAGUAAGAGCAUGGCUGUUGGGACCCGAAAGAUGGUGAACUAUGCUUGAAUAGGGUGAAGCCAGAGGAAACUCUGGUGGAGGCUCGCAGCGGUUCUGACGUGCAAAUCGAUCGUCAAAUUUGGGCAUAGGGGCGAAAGACUAAUCGAACUAUCUAGUAGCUGGUCUG